This 301-nucleotide ribosomal RNA is filed under the name uncultured bacterium. RNAcentral describes it as "partial 16S ribosomal RNA". It matches the Rfam family "Bacterial small subunit ribosomal RNA", at positions 509 to 807 of the family's 1533-position model. The record is from RNAcentral.
CAGCAGCCGCGGUAAUACGUAGGUGGCAAGCGUUGUCCGGAAUUAUUGGGCGUAAAGCGCGCGCAGGUGGUUUAAUAAGUCUGAUGUGAAAGCCCACGGCUCAACCGUGGAGGGUCAUUGGAAACUGUUAAACUUGAGUGCAGGAGAGAAAAGUGGAAUUCCUAGUGUAGCGGUGAAAUGCGUAGAGAUUAGGAGGAACACCAGUGGCGAAGGCGGCUUUUUGGCCUGUAACUGACACUGAGGCGCGAAAGCGUGGGGAGCAAACAGGAUUAGAUACCCCUGUAGUCCCUGUCUCUUAUAC